ACGGAGGGUGCGAGCGUUAAUCGGAAUUACUGGGCGUAAAGCGCAUGCAGGUGGUUCAUUAAGUCAGAUGUGAAAGCCCGGGGCUCAACCUCGGAACUGCAUUUGAAACUGGUGAACUAGAGUACUGUAGAGGGGGGUAGAAUUUCAGGUGUAGCGGUGAAAUGCGUAGAGAUCUGAAGGAAUACCAGUGGCGAAGGCGGCCCCCUGGACAGAUACUGACACUCAGAUGCGAAAGCGUGGGGAGCAAACAGGAUUAGAUACCCUGGUAGUCCACGCCGUAAACGAUGUCUACUUGGAGGUUGUGGCCUUGAGCCGUGGCUUUCGGAGCUAACGCGUUAAGUAGACCGCCUGGGGAGUACGGUCGCAAGAUUA
Molecule: ribosomal RNA, 372 nt
Filed under: uncultured Vibrio sp.
Lineage: Bacteria; Pseudomonadati; Pseudomonadota; Gammaproteobacteria; Vibrionales; Vibrionaceae
Description: bacterial SSU rRNA
Rfam family: Bacterial small subunit ribosomal RNA
Source: RNAcentral